AAGAACCUAGGGGAAACAAUCCCCCCAAAUCACGUCACAUACACAAGAAAGGGAGAAAAAAAAUCGAGUUUGAGUUUUAUAAUUCCCGGGUUUUGUUUUGGCACGCAAAUACCUUUUUCACGGGUACUUGAUAAGUAUUACACUCCCAUUAAGCCAUCGGCAGAUGUCGAAUGAACAGAAAGCUGAAUUUUUACAAGUUUGUAAAUUGUCUUGAUAAAUUAUUCAAGAAAAAAAUCAGAAGAUGAUAAGUAAUAUUCUUUUACGGAACAGCGGAGGAAAUUUGUUGAUGUAACGGGAAACGCCCACAGCUGUGUCGUCGUCCGGUCGGCCAAGUUCGAUUCUUUCUGGCUAAUUAAAGACGACAAUAAGAUUAUACCAUUAGAUAGCAUAUCAUUGAGGACGACGCCAUUUUGUUUUCGUGACCCGUCCGGGAGCGUAUGCUUUGUACACAGCCCAGAGCUAGCCGCCAACAUCACAGAACCGCGGAGACCGAACCAACGCCGAAAAGAACCGCCUACAACACCAGAAUGAAGAACAACUAAUAAAGACAUCAUGGUGUCGGACAUUUCGACUACUUGCCAAGGUUGUGGCCAGAGAUCCAGUUCCAAAACAAUCUACAGCUUGGCGAUCAUCCCAGAAAAGUUGACUCCGUCCGACUUGUUAAAACGCCUUGAUCACGGAGAAGGUUAGAGGAGUAAGUCCACAUUGUAAACUUGAUUGUGUUAUACUUGCCGUGAAAACUACAACAUCAUAAAGCGUUUUAUUUUUACUGGAAUCGAGCCAUGCGACAAGCUUUUCGGUUCGUUUUACAAAACGGAAUCCGUUCCUCCAUAUCGUAUGUAGCCGUUUACAUUGAUUCCUUGUUAUUUCAUUUAGAGUUAUUGAAUGUCUGUGCCCACGGAAUAUGCCUCUUAUACUCUUAAAAGUGCGUUUUUUCAGUAACUGAGAAAGGCGCAAGUUGCAUAUACUUUUGUACGUUCGUAAGCGACUUAAUUAUGGAAUCGACUGAUACGUUUAUCGACUACUAUAGUUAAUGUUUAUCCGUUGAAAUAAAUCCUCUAAACUUCA
Molecule: long non-coding RNA, 1068 nt
Organism: Branchiostoma floridae (Florida lancelet)
Lineage: Eukaryota; Metazoa; Chordata; Leptocardii; Amphioxiformes; Branchiostomatidae
Exons: 2
Source: RefSeq, a predicted model, not a curated record